AAGGCCUCAACAGCCCGUACAAAAGAAGACAAGCUCUAAAAGAUAUGCACAACUCCAAUGCCGCUAUAGUAUGCCUCCAAGAAACUCAUUUUUGUAAAAAGAACCCUCCUAAUCUACGAUCCUCCAAAUACCCCUUAGCUUAUCAUGCUUAUGCGCCAAACAAAUCCAAAGGUGUAGCCAUCCUACUACAUGCAGACUGGGUAUUCACCCCUACCAAACAACAUGUUGACCCAAAUGGGAGAUUGCUAAUCAUAGUGGGAGACCUCAACGGGAUUCAAGUGACGAUAGCAUCAUUAUAUGCACCAAAUGAGGCUCAAUUCUCCUUUCUCAACAAAGCCAUAAAAAAAAUCUCCUCACUAAAACAAGGACAUGUUAUAAUUUGCGGUGACUGCAACUGUACACUAGACCCUACAUUAGAUGUUCAACGUGCCAACGAUAAAAAGCCUAACAAACUAACCAUCCACAACAGCAAAUCAUUCUCCAAUCUUAUUUUUUCGCACUAUCUCUAUGAUACAUGGAAAAACCUAUUCCCAGCUGCUAAGGAUUUCACUUACUUCUCCCCGGUCCACUUAACAUAUACACGAAUAGAUAUCUGCUUGAUAGAUAAAUCCACAUUGCCUCAUCUUUUAGAUCAAAUGAUAGGGACCAGAACAUGGUCAGAUCAUGCCCCAAUAACUAUCACAAUAGCAGUGCCUUACCCAACGAGAGGCCGAGGCAAAUGGAGAUUAAACAAAUCCAUUCUUGACACACCUUCAAAUUUAGAGAAGACUGCCUGCGAACUGCAAAACUAUUUCGAAAUCAACACUACAAAUGAUACAUCAAUAGAAACCCAAUGGCUCGCUCAUAAAGCGGUGAUCAGAGGUGAAUUUAUCAAAAUAGGAUCAAUCAACAAGAAGAAAUCUCAUAACCUACAACGAAAGUUGCUUCAGAAACUCACGACACUGGAAAACGUCAACAAAUUAACCCCUUCCCGUACCAUGACGAAACAAAUAAAGGAAACGCGCGACGAGAUACUAAAAAUUAAAGUCAAAGAAUUCACCACCAACGCAGCUAGACUUCAACGUCACUAUUAUGGCAUGGGCAAUAAGGCCGGAAAAUUGCUAGCAAACCAACUGAAAUCCAAAUAUCUUCAAACGAAAAUCCCAUAUAUUCUCUCAAAAUCACAGAUAAAAAUAUAUAAUCCUACCGACAUAGUGAAUGAACUAGCAUCUUUCUAUGAGGAACUAUACAACCUAGACGCAAACGAGAACACGCACACUCCAGACAAAACAGACAUUCUAACUUAUCUAGAAAAAAUACAACUGCCAAAAAUUUCACAACAACAAAAUAACACGCUUACUGCCCCGUUCACGGAAUCAGAAGUAGCUGCGGCUAUUAAAUCUCUCCCCAGGCACAAAGCCCCAGGCCCAGACGGUCUCCCGAAUUACUAUUAUCUCAAAUUAGAACCAUACCUAUCCCCGCACAUAACCAAACUUUUUAAUAAAAUAAAAGAAACUGGCCACUUCCCUAGAACUAUGCUGGAAGCGUACAUCAUUACCCUACCCAAGCCGAAUAAACCACCCACUACCUGUGGCAAUCUAAGACCAAUUUCGCUAUUAAAUGCCGAUGUGAAACUCUAUGCCAAACUUAUAGCCACAAGAUUGAAACCCUUGCUGUCUACCUUGGUCUCGGAAGAACAAGCAGGCUUCGUGCCUGGCAAGCAAGUGGGAGACAACACCAGAUUUUGCAUGGACCUCAUCGACUGGGCAACUCGUCAACGUAUGUCCGGGGUCUUAAUGGCCUUGGACGCAGAAAAGGCUUUCGAUCGCCUAAAUUGGACGUACAUGGAAACUGUUCUACAAGCUUAUGGAUUCUCGGAAUCCUUCAUCACGAGCAUUAUGGCCCUUUACUCCGCGCCAUCGGCGAAAGUACUGAACUCAGGAUUCCUAUCUAAGAGCUUUGACAUCUCCAAUGGUACGAGACAAGGGUGUCCCCUAUCCCCCCUCAUAUUUAUCUUAUGUUUAGAGCCUCUCAUUCGAACAAUCAAACAAGACCCCUUACUGCCAGGCUUUACCACACCAGCAGGGGAAAAGAAGCUUGCUUUAUUUGCAGACGAUGUUAUUCUUUUUUUAGCAAAUCCUAGAUGUGCCAUUCCCCAUCUCAUGUAUACUCUUGCCUCAUAUGGUAACUUGUCAUUUUAUAAAAAUAACAUCAGCAAAACACAAAUACUCCCUCUGAACCUCGAACCCCAGGUCACAACCGAUUUGAAAUUACAAUUCCCCUUUGAUUGGCGCAAGACUUCCGUUACAUAUUUAGGCAUCAAACUUACGCUAUCACACUCUCAAACUAUAAAAGAAAAUCAUGAGGCAGUCCUACUGAAAAUAUCCAACCAAUUGAAAUCCUGGGAUAAUUUGAACACUUCUUGGAUAGGAAGAGUGAAUUCGGUUAAAAUGAUGGCGCUCCCUCAUAUUCUAUAUCUUUUUAGAACACUGCCCAUCACUCUUCCCAAAUCAAUUCUUACGAAAUUCCAAUCAACUAUCAACGCGCACAUUUGGAAAAGAAAACCUCAGAGAGUCGCUACUCACUCCCUAUGGAACCCCAUCCAUCAGGGUGGCCUGAGCGUUCCCAAUAUCACAAACUACUACAAAGCAUCCACGCUAGCACAGAGCCUGGACAUUAUGUCAGAGAAAGCCAGCCCAAUUUGGCUUAAACUUGAACAAGCAUGUAGCCAACUCCAUUCCCUAUCUGACACUAUGUGGGCUACAAAAAAAAAAUGCCCUACCCACCCACCAUUGCCAUGCACAAAAUUUCUUCUGAACUCUUGGAAAGCAUGGAGCUCGAACCUCUGUUCCAAUCAAGAAUUUCUCUACUUGGCACCAUUACGAGUCCUGUCUACAAUAUCACCAGACUUGUCGAUAAUGCACUGGCGUCAUCAAGGCUUAACCCAUGUUUACUCCUUGUAUAACUCCAAGGGCCUUCGCACAUUCCCUGACUUACAAGUCUCUCAUAACCUACCACAUAGGGAUAUCUUCCUCUACUUGAGAGUCAAGCAUAUAUUGCACACUGCAAAUAUUAAAUAUCAAGACCCAUCAACACUUAGCUCAAUAGGCCACUCUUGCUACAACAUAAGCACAACUCGCAACCCGCCGAAAUUCCUCUCAUUGUGCUACCUAGCCCAAUUAAACAUGUCCAAGGAAACUAAAUUACCUUAUAUGCUAAACUGGGAAAAAGACUUGGGUACAGAGUUCCAUCUCAAGGACUGGCUAUCUGCGAUAGCAACUACCAAAAAAUCCACCAAAUGUGUUAAUCUAUGGGAAGCAUACUUUAAGGUACUAAUGAGAUGGUAUUUAGUGCCCGAUAGGUUGAGCAAAAUAUACCUAACGGCUGCUCCUACAUGCUGGAGGUGCAAUAGUGGAAGGGGCACAAUAUUACACAUUUUCUGGGAAUGCCCACACCUGGGUACUUUUUGGACCUACGUGAAGAACGUCAUACACUCCAUCUCCGGGUUACAACUCUCCCUACGUCCUGACUUUUACUUGCUUCAUCUAAUACCGAACAUGAACCAACUCCCCUCGACGGCAGCUGUACUUAAUACUCUGAUUGCGGCAAAAUUAUGCAUUGCGUCUCAUUGGAAGAGUGACUUUAUCCCAUCAGCAAAAGAACUGCUUAACAGAAUAAACACUACGUACUGCUAUGAAAAGGAAUGGGCAAUAAAAGGGAACAUGACCAAAUUCAACGGACAAUGGAAAGGAUGGGAAACCACGUACAAACACCGCAUCGACUCAGAAUAAAUUCCGUCUCUAGGAUGAAAGGCACUCUCACACUACAUUUAAGGUCGCUCGGAUGUGAGGGUCUCAUGUCUCAUGUCCCUUGCCUCUUGUCUCUUGUUUCUUACCAUCUCUGACCUAACAUCUCUUUCGCUCCUCUCCUCUCUCCCUCCUCUCCUUUCUCUACUCUCUCCUUUAUUCCCCUGUCCCUCCUCCUCGCCUUCCCCGCCCCCCUUCCUUUACAUCUCACCCUUGUUCAUUAUCUUCCCUCUACCUCUUCUACAUCAACUCCUCUAACACUCCAUAAUGACUAAUCUAAAGGGCCAUCGACUAAGCAAAUGCACAAUGGAUGGCGAGGUUCUGUGGCUGGACUGACAGUCCUCACGCGUAUAUAUGAUAUUCACCAGAACGCACCAGUAGGCAAUAUUUUAGUCAAACUAUUUAAAUCUAAAACAUGGAAUGUCUGGAGACAAAUUCCCCUAUCAGAGGCUCCCUCCCACCUUCUUUAUGACCACAAAGCCAAUAUUAACACAUUUUGAACCAGGUACAGUAAACUAAGUACAGCUCUGACUCUCCGUAGCCCCUGACCUGGUCUACCACCCCAGCAUACAGACGCUCAUUUACCGCCACUAGGAGAAUCACACGCACUCGAGUAAGAGCCAUUAACAUUAAUCAACGGUCCCUCUAGCACCUGUACCUCAACUCAAUCUAGCGUCAUAGGACCUUAAAGGUGAUAUAUAUGUCAUUCUGAAUGUGUUUAAGCAUGUUGGAUCAGUCUAUUCCACUCUAGUCCUGCCAUGUCCGAAUCAUUGCUGUAAAAACCCGAAGAUGUUACGAUGUUCUCUUUAUGUAUAUUAGAUAACAUGUAUGAAUAUUAUGUACACAUGCAUUUAACUACUGUAUGGUCAUUAUACUAAGAACGCUGGCUGCAUAAUGCCUGUAUGUAUGUACAACCCACCAUGUAAAUGCUCCUGUAAUGAGUGAAAUGUACAAAAUCC
This 4744-nucleotide long non-coding RNA is filed under the name Pelobates cultripes (western spadefoot toad). The record is from RNAcentral. Lineage: Eukaryota; Metazoa; Chordata; Amphibia; Anura; Pelobatidae.